AUUGGGCGUAAAGAGCUCGUAGGCGGUUUGUUGCGUCGGCUGUGAAAACCUGAGGCUCAACCUCAGGCCUGCAGUCGAUACGAGCAGACUAGAGUGUUGCAGGGGAGACUGGAAUUCCUGGUGUAGCGGUGAAAUGCGCAGAUAUCAGGAGGAACACCGGUGGCGAAGGCGGGUCUCUGGGCAACAACUGACGCUGAGGAGCGAAAGCGUGGGGAGCGAACAGGAUUAGAUACCCUGGUAGUCCACGCCGUAAACGUUGGGCGCUAGGUGUGGGGCUCAUUCCACGAGUUCCGUGCCGCAGCUAACGCAUUAAGCGCCCCGCCUGGGGAGUACGGCCGCAGGGCUAAAACUCAAAGGAAUUGACGGGGGCCCGCACAAGCGGCGGAGCAUGUUGCUUAAUUCGAUGCAACGCGAAGAACCUUACCUAGGCUUGACAUGCACGGAAAUCCUCCAGAGAUGGUGGGUCCGUAAGGGCCGUGCACAGGUGGUGCAUGGUUGUCGUCAGCUCGUGUCGUGAGAUGUUGGGUUAAGUCCCGCAACGAGCGCAACCCUCGUUCUAUGUUGCCAGCACGUCAUGGUGGGGACUCAUAGGAGACUGCCGGGGUCAACUCGGAGGAAGGUGGGGAUGACGUCAAAUCAUCAUGCCCCUUAUGUCUAGGGCUGCAAACAUGCUACAAUGGCCGGUACAAAGGGCUGCGAUACCGCGAGGUGGAGCGAAUCCCAAAAAGCCGGUCUCAGUUCGGAUUGGGGUCUGCAACUCGACCCCAUGAAGUUGGAGUCGCU
RNAcentral lists this ribosomal RNA (783 nucleotides) under uncultured bacterium. RNAcentral's name for it is "bacterial SSU rRNA". It matches the Rfam family "Bacterial small subunit ribosomal RNA", at positions 553 to 1336 of the family's 1533-position model. The record is from RNAcentral.